GGCUGGUCCAAGUGCAGUGGUGUUUAUGACUAAUUGGUCACGACCAGUUGCUCAUUUCUUCAUUUCUUCUCCACUCCCACUCCUUCACAUGUCUAGCCUCAA
Molecule: Y RNA, 102 nt
Filed under: Carlito syrichta (Philippine tarsier)
Lineage: Eukaryota; Metazoa; Chordata; Mammalia; Primates; Tarsiidae
Description: Y RNA (ENSTSYG00000033675.1)
Rfam family: Y RNA
About the family: Y RNAs are components of the Ro ribonucleoprotein particle (Ro RNP), in association with Ro60 and La proteins. The Y RNAs and Ro60 and La proteins are well conserved, but the function of the Ro RNP is not known.
Source: Rfam by way of RNAcentral